GAUGAAGAACGUAGCGAAAUGCGAUACGUAAUGUGAAUUGCAGAAUUCAGUGAAUCAUCGAAUCUUUGAACGCAUAUUGCGCUCUCUGGUAUUCCGGAGAGCAUGCUUGUUUGAGUAUCAGUAAACACCUCAACUUCCAUAUCUUUUUUGAAAUGGGAGUUGGACUUGAGUGAUCCCAACGCUUUUCCUCACCGAAAAGUGGCGGGUUACUUGAAAUGCAGGUGCAGCUGGACUUUUCUCUGAGCUAUAAGCAUAUCUAUUUAGUCUGCCUAAAAAACAGAUUAUUACCUUUGCUGCAGCUAACAUAAAGGAGAUAGUUCUUGUGCUGACUGAUGCAGGAUUCACAAAGACAGGCUUCGGCCGACUUUGUAAACUCGAUCUCAAAUCAAGUAAGACUACCCGCUGAACUUAAGCAUAUCAAUAAGCGGAGGA
RNAcentral lists this unclassified non-coding RNA (432 nucleotides) under soil metagenome. RNAcentral describes it as "partial contains 5.8S ribosomal RNA, internal transcribed spacer 2, and large subunit ribosomal RNA". The stretch from base 1 to 120 matches the Rfam family "5.8S ribosomal RNA", at positions 35 to 154 of the family's 154-position model. The record is from RNAcentral.